GAUGAAGAACGUAGCGAAAUGCGAUAACUAAUGUGAAUUGCAGAAUUCCGUGAAUCAUCGAGUCUUUGAACGCACAUUGCGCCCCCUGGUAUUCCGGGGGGCAUGCCUGUCCGAGCGUCAUUGCUGCCCAUCAAGCACGGCUUGUGUGUUGGGUCCCGUCCCCCUCUCCCGGGGGACGGACCCGAAAGGCAGCGGCGGCACCGCGUCCGGUCCUCGAGCGUAUGGGGCUUUGUCACCCGCUCUUGUAGUCCCGGCCGGCGCUUGCCGACACCCAACCAUUUUUUUCAGGUUGACCUCGGAUCAGGUAGGGAUACCCGCUGAACUUAAGCAUAUCAAUAAGCGGAGGA
RNAcentral lists this unclassified non-coding RNA (347 nucleotides) under soil metagenome. Its description in RNAcentral is "partial contains 5.8S ribosomal RNA, internal transcribed spacer 2, and large subunit ribosomal RNA". The stretch from base 1 to 120 matches the Rfam family "5.8S ribosomal RNA", at positions 35 to 154 of the family's 154-position model. The record is from RNAcentral.